UACGGGGGGAGCAAGCGUUGUUCGGAUUUACUGGGCGUAAAGGGCGCGUAGGCGGCCAGCACAAGUCAGUUGUGAAAUCUCCGAGCUUAACUCGGAAAGGUCAACUGAUACUGUGCGGCUAGAGUGCGGAAGGGGCAACUGGAAUUCUUGGUGUAGCGGUGAAAUGCGUAGAUAUCAAGAGGAACACCUGCGGCGAAGGCGGGUUGCUGGGCCGACACUGACGCUGAUGCGCGAAAGCGUGGGGAGCGAACAGG
Molecule: ribosomal RNA, 254 nt
Filed under: uncultured bacterium
Lineage: Bacteria
Description: partial 16S ribosomal RNA
Rfam family: Bacterial small subunit ribosomal RNA
Source: RNAcentral